CUUUGAUGAUGACACCCGCACGCGUCUUACGCCAUGCGUCGAUGCCAGACCUGCAAAGGUGAACCCACUGGUGUUGCCAUGGCAACAAGGGGACACCUUGUUGGGGUUUCCAACAGUCUGAAAAAG
RNAcentral lists this small nucleolar RNA (126 nucleotides) under Hippocampus comes (tiger tail seahorse). Its description in RNAcentral is "Small nucleolar RNA SNORD22 (ENSHCOG00000009962.1)". It matches the Rfam family "Small nucleolar RNA SNORD22". From Rfam's summary of the family: U22 is a member of the C/D class of snoRNA which contain the C (UGAUGA) and D (CUGA) box motifs. The record is from RNAcentral. Lineage: Eukaryota; Metazoa; Chordata; Actinopteri; Syngnathiformes; Syngnathidae.